Molecule: long non-coding RNA, 1020 nt
Filed under: Homo sapiens (human)
Lineage: Eukaryota; Metazoa; Chordata; Mammalia; Primates; Hominidae
Description: HSALNT0305530
Source: RNAcentral
UCGGGCCAUCAGUGAUUUUUAAGAAUACAGUACAUUAUUAAUAGCUAUAGUUACCAUAUUGUACAAUAGAUCCCUUAAACUUAUUCCUCUUGUCUAACUGAAAUUUUGUGUCUCCCCAGCGGAAUCCCCCAGGCACCCUGGUAACCACCACUCUACUCUCUGCAAAGCUUACGUUUUUGUUGCUGGUCUAUGUGUGAUGGAGGAACUGAAGCCUGGAAAGGACAGCUGACCUCCUUUCCAGAUUCUGAAAGAAUAAAAUCGAAAGCAGGAGAGGGUUCUCUGUACCAGGCCACAUCAUUGAAAGACAAAACCUGAACAAUAAUAAAACCCCAGAGGACAAAAGCCAAGCUUAAGUGAAAUUUGCCUGUUGUGCUUCUGUGCUUAUGUUUGAUCUCCUAGUAAAUAAUUGAAGAGUUUGAGGUAGUUCCCCAGUGGAAAGGUUUCUAGAAUAGAGAUUUGUCUGAAAAUGUUCAGAAGAGCUGUUCAGUAUUCUACUCAGUUGAUUUUAUGGAGGGAGUCAUAGGACUCUCAGUGUUGGAGUAACUAGUUGUGUUGUAGCCUGUCAUGGCUUUGGAGUGAUUUGUUCUUUGCUGGAUGACUAGAUAAAUCAGUAAAGACAGAAUUCAGGAAAAGGGAUGAGAGAUGGAAUGGGGAGGAGACUCAGAUUUAAAGAAUGCCUUGUGCUAGGCCACGUGCUGAGCAUUUUCUAUAAGUCAGUUCCCCAAGUCCUCUGAAGAACUCAAAUCCUUCAGCACAUGUUUGUUCCGCACAGGUUAGCAGUGGUCACAGGCAGGCCCUGAGGGUGGACUGCCUGCCCAGGUUCCUGUGCUGUGGCUGGCGCUGGGCUUUGCUCAGAGGAGUCAAGGAGAAGUCACUUGGCCCCAGCUCUAAGAAGACUUGCUGUCCAGGACAAAGAUUGUCAAGCUGUUUCUCUAAGGUUCAUAGUGAGAAAUCCGUUUUAUGUUGCAACCUGUAGGAACACAUUAGUCCCACAGUCAGAAGUAAAACAUUUCAUCUCAA